CUCCCGAGAAUGAAGUUUACUGCCCGACGCGUAGCGGAGGGCAGUAAUCAUUCAAGGGAGGAAAAGGCACUUUACUCCCAUGUUAUACAUAUGGUUUUUCCACCUUCCUCAAAUAACAAGUCAUUUUUUCAUUUUUACUUAAUUUAUUUAUGUAACUAACCAACAAAAAUUAUUAGAACUAAAACUAACAAGUACGUACAAUAUAACUGUCAACUGUCAAAUAUAAGUCAAAAUAAUAAUGUAAACAUAAAUCAAAAUAAAAAUUUACGGUUUUUUACCAUUCUGCAAAAUACAGAGUGUUUUAUAAAUAAACGUUAAAAUGUAUAGAAACUUACGUAAUAGAAAAUAGAUAUUGUACAGGGCGUCAAUAAGUUACAUUUCAUGAAUGAAAUACCAUGACGUCACUUUUACUUUUCCUCCCUAGGGAGGAAAAAUAUUUUCCUCCCUAGGGAGGAAAAGUACAACUUUGCUCCCUACAAUCAGGUCCGGGAAAGUAUACUUUCGGUAGAGAUUUUUCAAGAAUGAAGAAUUAGUGGCGCACACAAUAUUCCUGCUACAAGAGCUGAUAUGAAUAUUACGAGGCGCAAAAAUGUAUUUUCAUUUUGAUAAAAAAUAAAAUUAUAGACUUAUUUUGAAAUAUUUUCCAUAGGUAGUAUUUGCUAAAUUUUAAGUAAAACGCGCCACAAACUUCAUGAAAGGUACUGUAUUGUGAUACUCCCUGGCUAUGUUUUAAAUACUUACUAAUAUUUUUUCAUGUCUACCUACAUAUUUUUUAUGCCAGAUAUAAAUAAUUCUGUAGUAUUGCUAUGAUGUUUAAAUUCAGAUCAUUCUGAUUAUUCACUGAAGCCAUUAUUAAUGAGUCCACAAAUACAUUCCUUUUUGUAUAUGGAAGAAAACAAAACAAUUGAAUCUCACUCACUUACAGUCGGAAAAAUGAAAGAAUACACAUGAACGAACAUAUAAAACACGCUGUAUUUUCCAGUCACCGUGUCACAAAGAAAAUUGUCCAGUGCAAGUACAUGUAACAAUAAUUAUUACAUGUACUUGCGCAGGCCAAUGUUUUGUGUGACACGGUGACAGGCGUGUUUUAUAUGUUCGUUCAUGGGUACUUUCAUUUUUCCUACUGUACAUUAGCUAAAACAGGAAAGGUUUUCUAUUUUAGUCAAUGUAAGUGUACACAGUUAAAUUGAUUCAAUUAUUGUUCUAUCCUACAGAAAUAUACUAUAAUAUAGAGAUUGAGAGAGAUUUACCAAAGUUAACACAUUGACGAACAGUGCCUCAAAUGGAUAAGUAAGUGUUGUGACACUCUAUUGAAUUUUGCGAAGUAGAAUAGGAAAAUUGCUAAAUUUCUUAGCGCUUAUAGUUUAUGGAAACAAUUUUGACGUUUUUUUGUAAACAUGUGGACGAUGACCAUGAUUGUCAUGUCAUAUUUCAUAAUAAGCAUCUGUAGAUAUAUUGUGACAAAAAUCUAGUGAUUUUUUGUCAUAACUUGUUAUUUAAAAAAUGUCUAUAGACCUUGUGUCACAUUUCAUCAAUGGAAAUUAGACGUCUAUAGACAUUCUGUCCAUCAAUGUGUUAAAGAUGUUUGCUAACCUUAUAGAAUAUUUUUGUGUUAUGGGGAAAUAAAAGAAUCAUUAAUAUACA
This 1644-nucleotide long non-coding RNA is filed under the name Diabrotica virgifera virgifera (western corn rootworm). RNAcentral's name for it is "uncharacterized LOC126889860". The record is from RNAcentral. Lineage: Eukaryota; Metazoa; Arthropoda; Insecta; Coleoptera; Chrysomelidae.